Molecule: transfer RNA, 75 nt
Filed under: Escherichia coli
Lineage: Bacteria; Pseudomonadati; Pseudomonadota; Gammaproteobacteria; Enterobacterales; Enterobacteriaceae
Also listed under: 1 other name
Description: tRNA-OTHER
Rfam family: tRNA
About the family: Transfer RNA (tRNA) molecules are approximately 80 nucleotides in length.
Source: RNAcentral
GCGGGUAUCGUAUAAUGGUAAUUACCUCAGUUUUUUUUCUGACUGAUGAUGUGGGUUCGAUUCCCACCACCCGCU